Molecule: long non-coding RNA, 1787 nt
Filed under: Marmota monax (woodchuck)
Lineage: Eukaryota; Metazoa; Chordata; Mammalia; Rodentia; Sciuridae
Source: RNAcentral
GUUAGACUCUGCUGCGAGUUGAGUUCUAAAGAAAGAGGACUGGACCCGUCUGGUAGUGAUUGUUUGGGUACUUAAGGUUUCCUAUACCCGAGCCAGUGGAGUCCGCCUCGGUCCCCAGGAGGGCUUCAAGAAGGUGCGGACCAAGGCGCCGAAGUAGGAUGGAAAGAAUCGCGCACGAGUUCUGGGAGAUCCAGACCACGGUGCGCCUGCCGCUGCCCAAGUACACCACGGCCGCGUGGGCUCGCCAAUGGCUGCCCAUACAACAAAGGUUCUCUUCAGAGCCAACCACGCUUCCACGGAAAGUAGCGGAUACAUGUUUAUUGUUUAGUUACCUUCAGUGAAGCUGGAAAGAAUCCGCAGGGCCGGUAGAUCGCAAAAAGCGCUGCCAACGUUAGGCACUUUAAGGCAGUGUCAGGUUAGUUUGUGUUCCCAAUCGCGUUCGGAAAUGCAUUGUAGUUUUCUUUUCUGCUACAAUAGCCAAAAUUCGCUUUUGGCAACGUAAUUAAUUCACUGAACUCCCGGAAGUAGCAGUACUUGAAAAACCCCGCCAGGGGUUGCAAGUUGUCACGGGGUCGUGCUUUUCAAAGAAGUUAUUUCGGGGGUCUGGGAUUGUGGCUCAGAGGUAGAGUGCUCGCCUAGCAAGCACGAGGCAGUGGGUUUGAUCCUCAGGACCACGUAAAUGUAGAAUAAAGAUUUUCUGUGUCCACCUAAAACUUAAGAAUAAUUUUUUUUAAGGAGUUAUUUGGAAGGUACAAUUAAGAAUUGUUAUUGGCGCCCGUUUCGCAUAAGCUCUGCAGUGCUGCACAUAGGCGAGCUGAAAUGAUUUGCAUCCAAGCGCAACAGGCCAGGGAAGCUCCUUCAGGUUAAAAUGUUGAGCAAGGAACCCAGCAACGUGGAGAAGCCACUUUCUUAAAAUCUUUAAUCAGGAGAUAAGCAUUUGCUGGUUCAGAGAGGUAGCUAUCAGGCUGGGAUUUGAGAGUCCAUGAUUUGAUUAUCAGCAAAAGAGGUUGGAGAACCUAGUGCCUUAAAGAACAGAUAUCCAGCAAAGCCACAGAGGUAGGCAGAGAGACAGACGCCAUGGCUCGCUAGGAGUAUUCUGGAGACUUUCAAUGCUUGAUGUAAAAUUCCUCAAUCUCUCCCUCCCCAGUAUCCCAAUGGUGCUUAAAUUCUCCUUCCUGGCAUUUCAUAGUAUUAAUACCUCUGCCACCUGUUAUCCUCUGUGCCAUAGAACACUUGUAUUGUAAAUCCAUGUUCUACCCUCCCAGGAUCUCACCAGGGACUCCAAAACCACCAUUUAAGGCCUUUCUGUUGCUCUGUCUUCCUUUUCCUUGAAGCUAUGGGUUGCGUUCUCUGUCUUGUCACAGGCAACAAAGAGCCCCAAAGUCAUACUAAUAGGCCAGCGGAUCUUGAAAAAUGCACGGAUUUAUGGUUUACUUUUCUAAAACAGGGUUUCCUCCCUCAGUUCUGCGCCGUCAUUCAGGCUGGACGCACUGGGACUGGGGACAGUCCUCAGAAGAGCUGCCUUCCUGGUGUUCCUGAAUUUGUAGGCCUCACAAUUGUCACCUCCCUUCAUUCUUUGCUUUCCGGGAAGACUGUUCCCUGUCUUUGAGGGAUGAACCUCCGGAGCCGGCGGGAGAAGACUUAUUGCCCUCGUGUGGUAGAAGACGAACCCACGCCCAAGGCGCUGUUCUAAGGGGACUGAGACCAUCUCUCUGUGCCGCAGUCUACACGUUAGAGGAAGGUUUCCACUGAUGGUCUUAACUGAAGGAUUGAAGUUUAAGCGUGGG